AGUGAACGCUGGCGGUAGGCCUAACACAUGCAAGUCGAACGGCAGCACAGUAAGAGCUUGCUCUUACGGGUGGCGAGUGGCGGACGGGUGAGGAAUACAUCGUAAUCUACUUUUUCGUGGGGGAUAACGUAGGGAAACUUACGCUAAUACCGCAUACGACCUACGGGUGAAAGCAGGGGAUCUUCGGACCUUGCGCGAUUGAAUGAGCCGAUGUCGGAUUAGCUAGUUGGCGGGGUAAAGGCCCACCAAGGCGACGAUCCGUAGCUGGUCUGAGAGGAUGAUCAGCCACACUGGAACUGAGACACGGUCCAGACUCCUAAGGGAGGCAGCAGUGGGGAAUAUUGGACAAUGGGCGCAAGCCUGAUCAAGCCAUACCGCGUGGGUGAAGAAGGCCUUCGGGUUGUAAAGCCCUUUUGUUGGGAAAGAAAAGCAGCAGGUUAAUACCCCGCUGUGCUGACGGUACCCAAAGAAUAAGCACCGGCUAACUUCGUG
RNAcentral lists this ribosomal RNA (492 nucleotides) under uncultured bacterium. RNAcentral describes it as "partial 16S ribosomal RNA". It matches the Rfam family "Bacterial small subunit ribosomal RNA", at positions 29 to 507 of the family's 1533-position model. The record is from RNAcentral.